Molecule: ribosomal RNA, 2392 nt
Filed under: human gut metagenome
Description: bacterial LSU rRNA
Rfam family: Bacterial large subunit ribosomal RNA
Source: RNAcentral
CCAAGCGGAAAGCACACAAAGAAACUUUGUUUAGUUUUGAGGGGACGUGACAAACGACGAAAUGCUUCGGGGAGCGGUAAGUACGCAGAGAUCCGGAGAUAUCCGAAUGGGGGAACCCGGCACCGUGAGGUGUCACCUUGAAUGUGAAUAGAUAGCAUUAAGGAGGAAGACGCAGUGAACUGAAACAUCUAAGUAGCUGCAGGAAGAGAAAGAAAGAUCGAUUUCCCAAGUAGCGGCGAGCGAACAGGAAAGAGCCCAAACCUAAUGGCUUGCCAUUAGGGGUAGAAGGACUGUAAAAAGCCGAAUGGAAGGAUAGCAGAAUUAUCUGGGAAGAUAAGCCAAAGAGGGUGAGAGCCCCGUAAGCGAAAUCCGGAAAGUAGGUGAGCAGGAUCCUGAGUAGGUCGGGACACGAGGAAUCCCGAUUGAAUCCGCGAGGACCAUCUCGCAAGGCUAAAUACUAACCAGUGACCGAUAGUGAACCAGUACCGUGAGGGAAAGGUGAAAAGAACCCCGGGAGGGGAGUGAAAGAGAACCUGAAACCGUGUGCCUACAAGUAGUCAGAGCACGUUAAAGUGUGAUGGCGUGCCUUUUGUAGAAUGAACCGGCGAGUUGCGUUGUGGUGCAAGGUUAAGUCAGAAAAGACGGAGCCGAAGCGAAAGCGAGUCUGAAGAGGGCGAGAUAGUAUCAUGACGCAGACCCGAAACCAAGUGACCUACCCAUGACCAGGUUGAAGGCGUGGUAAAACACGCUGGAGGACCGAACCCACGCAAGUUGAAAAUUGCGGGGAUGAGUUGUGGGUAGCGGUGAAAUUCCAAACGAACUUGGAGAUAGCUGGUUCUCUCCGAAAUAGCUUUAGGGCUAGCCUCGUGUGAAUGAUAAUGGAGGUAGAGCACUGUUUGGACUAGGGGCCCGUCAGGGGUUACUGAAUCCAGAUAAACUCCGAAUGCCAGAUAUCAAUGCACGGGAGUCAGACUGCGAGUGAUAAGAUCCGUAGUCGAAAGGGAAACAGCCCAGAUCACCGGUUAAGGUCCCAAAAUCUAUGCUAAGUGGAAAAGGAUGUGGAGUUGCACAGACAACUAGGAUGUUGGCUCAGAAGCAGCCACCAUUUAAAGAGUGCGUAAUAGCUCACUAGUCGAGUGACGCUGCGCCGAAAAUUUACCGGGGCUAAGCAUAGUACCGAAACCGUGGAUGCAGCGAAAGACUAAGGUUUCCUGGGGCAGGCUCGUCCGCCCAGGGUAAGUCGGGACCUAAGGUAAGGCCGAGAGGCGUAGCCGAUGGACAACAGGUAGAUAUUCCUGUACUAUUCGUAAUCGAUAAGAGCGAAGGAGGGACGCAGGAGGCUAAUGACGCAUGGAGAUGGAAUCAUGUGUAAGCGUUAAGGAAGGAUGCGAGUCAAAUGCUUGUAGCCAAUUUUGAGACGUGAUGCGGAGUGAAAUCAAAGUAGCGAAGGUCAUGAAGUCACACUGCCAAGAAAAGCUUCUAGCCAGAGAGCGAGUACCCGUACCGCAAACCGACACAGGUAGUCGAGGAGAGAAUCCUCAGGUGAGCGAGAGAACUCUCGUUAAGGAACUCGGCAAAAUAACCCCGUAACUUAGGGAGAAGGGGUGCUGAAGAGAAAUCAGCCGCAGUGAAGAGGCCCAAACAACUGUUUAUCAAAAACACAGGUAUCUGCAAAAUCGUAAGAUGACGUAUAGGUACUGACACCUGCCCGGUGCUGGAAGGUUAAGAGGAUAGCUUAGCGAAAGCGAAGGUUAGAAUUGAAGCCCCAGUAAACGGCGGCCGUAACUAUAACGGUCCUAAGGUAGCGAAAUUCCUUGUCGGGUAAGUUCCGACCUGCACGAAAGGUGUAAUGAUUUGGGCACUGUCUCAACGAGAGACUCGGUGAAAUUAUAAUACCCGUGAAGAUGCGGGUUACCCGCGACAGGACGGAAAGACCCCAUGGAGCUUUACUGUAGCUUGAUAUUGAGUAUUUGUUAAACAUGUACAGGAUAGGUAGGAGCCAGAGAAGAUAGGACGCCAGUUUUAUCAGAGGCAAUGUUGGGAUACUACCCUUGUUUGAUGGAUCCUCUAACUCGUCACACUAAGCGUGUGAGAGGACAGUGUCAGGUGGGCAGUUUGACUGGGGCGGUCGCCUCCUAAAGAGUAACGGAGGCGCCCAAAGGUUCCCUCAGAAUGGUUGGAAAUCAUUCGCAGAGUGUAAAGGUAGAAGGGAGCUUGACUGCGAGAGAGACAACUCGAGCAGGUACGAAAGUAGGGCUUAGUGAUCUGGUGGUACUGCAUGGAAAGGCCAUCACUCAACGGAUAAAAGCUACCCUGGGGAUAACAGGCUUAUCUCCCCCAAGAGUUCACAUCGACGGGGAGGUUUGGCACCUCGAUGUCGGCUCGUCGCAUC